Molecule: ribosomal RNA, 425 nt
Filed under: uncultured bacterium
Lineage: Bacteria
Description: partial 16S ribosomal RNA
Rfam family: Bacterial small subunit ribosomal RNA
Source: RNAcentral
GUUAGGAAUAUUGGACAAUGGGCGCAAGCCUGAUCCAGCCAUGCCGCGUGAACGAUGAAGGCCUUCGGGUUGUAAAGUUCUUUAGCCGAUGAUUAUAAUGACUGUAGUCGGAAAAUAAGCCCCGGCUAACUUCGUGCCAGCAGCCGCGGUAAUACGAAGGGGGCGAGCGUUAUUCGGAAUCACUGGGCGUAAAGCGUGCGUAGGCGGUCUCGUAAGUUAGGAGUGAAAGCCCAGGGCUCAACCUUGGAAUUGCUCUUAAUACUGCAAGGCUAGAAUCUCGGAGAGGAUAGCGGAAUUUCCAGUGUAGCAGUGAAAUGCGUAGAUAUUGGAAGGAACACCAGUGGCGUAAGCGGCUAUCUGGACCGAUAUUGACGCUGAGGCACGAAAGCGUGGGGAGCAAACAGGAUUAGAAACCCUGGUAGUCC